Molecule: ribosomal RNA, 497 nt
Filed under: uncultured bacterium
Lineage: Bacteria
Description: partial 16S ribosomal RNA
Rfam family: Bacterial small subunit ribosomal RNA
Source: RNAcentral
GAUGAACGCUGGCGGCGUGCCUAAUACAUGCAAGUCGAGCGAACAGACGAGGAGCUUGCUCCUCUGACGUUAGCGGCGGACGGGUGAGUAACACGUGGAUAACCUACCUAUAAGACUGGGAUAACUUCGGGAAACCGGCGCUAAUACCGGAUAAUAUAUUGCACCGCAUGGUUCAAUAGUGAAAGACGGUUUUGCUGUCACUUAUAGAUGGAUCCGCGCCGCAUUAGCUAGUUGGUAAGGUAACGGCUCACCGAGGCAACGAUGCGUAGCCGACCUGAGAGGGUGAUCGGCCACACUGGAACUGAGACACGGUCCAGACUCCUACGGGAGGCAGCAGUAGGGAAUCUUCCGCAAUGGGCGAAAGCCUGACGGAGCAACGCCGCGUGAGUGAUGAAGGUCUUCGGAUCGUAAAACUCUGUUAUUAGGGAAGAACAAAUGUGUAAGUAACUAUGCACGUCUUGACGGUACCUAAUCAGAAAGCCACGGCUAACUACGUG